This 71-nucleotide transfer RNA is filed under the name Streptococcus gordonii. RNAcentral describes it as "tRNA-Glu". It matches the Rfam family "tRNA". From Rfam's summary of the family: Transfer RNA (tRNA) molecules are approximately 80 nucleotides in length. RNAcentral also lists the same sequence under 9 other names. Lineage: Bacteria; Bacillati; Bacillota; Bacilli; Lactobacillales; Streptococcaceae. The record is from RNAcentral.
GGUCCGUUGGUCAAGGGGUUAAGACACCGCCUUUUCACGGCGGUAACACGGGUUCGAAUCCCGUACGGACU